RNAcentral lists this ribosomal RNA (634 nucleotides) under Clostridioides difficile. RNAcentral describes it as "partial 23S ribosomal RNA". It matches the Rfam family "Bacterial large subunit ribosomal RNA", at positions 2289 to 2925 of the family's 2925-position model. The record is from RNAcentral. Lineage: Bacteria; Bacillati; Bacillota; Clostridia; Peptostreptococcales; Peptostreptococcaceae.
CCCAAAAGGUAACGGAGGCGCUCAAAGGUUCUCUCAGUACGGUCGGAAAUCGUACGUAGAGUGUAAAGGCAAAAGAGAGCUUGAUUGCAAGACAUACAGGUCGAGCAAGGAUGAAAAUCGGACUUAGUGAUCCGGUGGUUCUGCGUGGAAGGGCCAUCGCUCAACGGAUAAAAGCUACCCUGGGGAUAACAGGCUUAUCUCCCCCAAGAGUCCACAUCGACGGGGAGGUUUGGCACCUCGAUGUCGGCUCAUCACAUCCUGGGGCUGUAGUAGGUCCCAAGGGUUGGGCUGUUCGCCCAUUAAAGUGGUACGCGAGCUGGGUUCAGAACGUCGUGAGACAGUUCGGUCCCUAUCCGUCGCAGGCGUAGGAAAUUUGAGAAGACCUGUCCUUAGUACGAGAGGACCGGGAUGGACGUAUCUCUGGUGUACCAGUUGUCCUGCCAAGGGCAUGGCUGGGUAGCUAUGUACGGAAUGGAUAAGCGCUGAAAGCAUCUAAGCGCGAAGCCAACUUCAAGAUAAGAUUUCCCACCGCAAGGGUAAGACCCCAGAAAGACUAUCUGGUUGAUAGGUCGAAGGUGUAAGUGCAGCAAUGUAUUUAGCUUAUCGAUACUAAUAGGUCGAGGACUUGACCAAU